CCUACGGGAGGCAGCAGUGGGGGAUAUUGCACAAUGGGGGAAACCCUGAUGCAGCGACGCCGCGUGGGCGAAGAAGUAUUUCGGUAUGUAAAGCCCUAUCAGCAGGGAAGAAGAAAUGACGGUACCUGAGUAAGAAGCACCGGCUAAAUACGUGCCAGCAGCCGCGGUAAUACGUAUGGUGCAAGCGUUAUCCGGAUUUAUUGGGUUUAAAGGGUGCGCAGGCGGGCCUUUAAGCCGGCGGUGAAAUCGCGGGGCUCAACCCCGCCGAGCCGUCGGAACUGGGGGCCUUGAGUGCGGCGGAGGCAUGCGGAAUGCGCGGUGUAGCGGUGAAAUGCAUAGAUAUCGCGCAGAACCCCGAUUGCGAAGGCAGCGUGCCGUGCCGCCACUGACGCUGAGGCACGAAAGCGCGGGGAUCGAACAGGAUUAGAUACCCCUGUAGUC
Molecule: ribosomal RNA, 441 nt
Filed under: uncultured bacterium
Lineage: Bacteria
Description: partial 16S ribosomal RNA
Rfam family: Bacterial small subunit ribosomal RNA
Source: RNAcentral